This 70-nucleotide transfer RNA is filed under the name Scyllarides haanii. RNAcentral's name for it is "tRNA-Leu". The record is from RNAcentral. Lineage: Eukaryota; Metazoa; Arthropoda; Malacostraca; Decapoda; Scyllaridae.
AUUGUCUUGGCAGAAAUUAUGCAUUAGGUUUAGGACCUAAUUAGAUAGGAAAGAAGCCCUAUAGAUAAUA